CUCAAUCACAUCAUUAGGGUAUGGAUAUAUCAUGUCAAACCCCUAGUGUGAUUAUUCCUUCUUAUAUGAUCCAAUUGAGUCGUAUAGGAACGCUUUCCUUUAUUACGCUCGAUACUUCGGCCGAAGAUUCCCAAAUCAUAUCUUAGAGUAUUCUUCCUCUCUUAUCGAGGAUUAGAGAUUCCUUGUUGCGCAUACACUUGCCUUCAUGACUAAGUGGCUUAACCCUAACUAUGCCGUUGACAUUCUGAUAGAGUGACAUUGACAUAAUCAAAGAUUAAGUACUUAACCACAAGACAACGACGAUGCCUCAGGUCAAAGGAUUACUUACAUUAUUCCAACCAUUUGAGUUACUUGCUUGACAUGUGAGUAGACCUUCAUGCAAGUACUCUGAUUCGAUUGUAUUCAGUGAACUCAUUCCCUUAAUGAGCACCUACAUACUUGUCUUAGUGUCACAACACGAAUAGGUUGAGACUUUCCAUCCUUCCAAUUGAAGCGGACACAGUAUGUACUGGUCUAAGCAUUGUCAGUAUCCCUCCGACAAUCCAACGACCAGGAACCUUUUGGACAUAAUGGUUAUGUGAAGAAGGUCUCUGUAGUCUAACAUCAUUAGAUUACUUCUUCAAUCGAUCCAUUGUCCAUGGAUUCACUAUUCAAGACAUAUAUCGUUUAUUGAGAUAGUCCUAAUUAGUAUCUUUGCCAUUUGAUGUAUAAGAAUCAUCCAUACAUCGAUUCAUUUGUCCUGAAAGAUUUCUUCCAAAGAUUGACUUUCAGGGCAUAUUUCCAACAGAUAUAUUGGUAAAGAUGUUGCACUACGCCUACAUGCAACCACUGAAUUGGUUAUUAAAGACGUUUUCCUCUACCUUGAAGGUAUUACAAAUUUGGGAUAAUUCCAACGCAUCCUAAGCGGAUUCAACCCCCUUGAUCUUUGCAAUGAUGCUUGCCUUGUUUGUUAUGCUAAUGUUGGUUACUUAUCAAACUCACAAAAGGCACAAGGCAUAUCCCUGAAUGGUUAUAUUUUUACCGUUAAGGAUACCACAAUAUCUUGGAGGUUCAUGAUAUGACCCUAGUUGCAAAAUCUUUGCAUCAUUCCAAGACUCACCUCAUUUCACUACACCACAUGUGAAACAUGGUUGAGAGUUCUUGUUGAGCAUAUUCGAAGUACUUGAUAUUUUCAUCCAUCGUUGAGUCCCAAUGACGAUCCAUGAUGACUAUGUU
Molecule: long non-coding RNA, 1215 nt
Filed under: Malus domestica (apple)
Lineage: Eukaryota; Viridiplantae; Streptophyta; Magnoliopsida; Rosales; Rosaceae
Description: long non-coding RNA (MDOM_LNC005898)
Source: RNAcentral